GGGGUCCUGGGCAGGGCCGGGAGCCGCGUGGCGGGGAAAAGCCGGGCGGACAGCCUGUCCCCGCUCGCGGGGCGCGGGCGCGUCGUCUUUGGAGCAGCCGGUGCGGGGGUCCGCGCGCCCCUCUCCCUCCGGAAUCCGGCGAGGAUUCAGGGGACCCUGUGACCACCACGUCCGCCCCGCGCGGGGGUCAAAGAGCACCCCGCGCCCUUGGUAACAGGGACAAAAAAAACAAACCCACCCUACUCGGGGGCCGCCUAGACAGGUCAAGGUGCAGGAGGCCGCGUCCCCGCGGCUCCUUCCGGAAGGGGGCGGGGACCCGCCAAGGGCGCCGCGGGCGCGCCGCGGCCCCGGCCUCCGCGGGCCUUUCUGCCUCUCCACCCUCUGCUGAUCAAAGUAGGAAGUUUGCCUGACAACCGGGGUGAAAGGGGCCGGACCACAAAUGAACUCGAUUUCGGCGCUGUGCAUAUACCGCGCCUCCAUUGUCCCCCUUUCAGACGCAGUGUGAACCCUUCCGGUAACGGCGACCGCGCGGCGCUCACGGGCGCGCUCCGGGCGCACAAAGGCCCCGCGCCCCGCCCGCCGCNNNNNNNNNNNNNNNNNNNNNNNNNNNNNNNNNNCUGCUUGCAGCCCCGACCGCGCCGGCGGCCCUGCGCUCACCCCCAGUCCCAGCAAGGAGCCAACUAUGCGCGGGGACAGGGCACCGCGGGAACUUUCCACCGCCCCCAGCACGGGCGUGGGGGUGAAAUUUCCCACCUUCUCCCGGCGAACCUGGAGACCGACUCCGAGCUGCUUUCAAGGCCCCUGCGGUCAGCUUGGCAAUUAAGUCGUUUGUUCAGCUGGAGUCUACUGCAACAUCCUUGAUUCGCUAAAAUAUCGUUUUUUUAAAGGAGUGAUUUUUUUUUCAUGUCUACGAUCAGAAGACCCUUUAAAAAGUAGCUGAAAGUGCACUAUAAAAACAAUAAAUACAAAGUAAUCACACUUUUAAUUGUGCCAUGUAAGCCUCGUAAGUUGUAAACACAACCAAAAACAUAGGUUAACCAACAAAAUCUGUUUUAUGGACUUACGGAGACGAAAGAUUAUACGUGUUGGGACUUAAAAGCUAGGAAAGAGAAGUCAGUUCUAAAUUACAAUUAGUCAAGCAGAUCGUGAACAGAAUGAGUAUGGUCUUCAUUCUGCCGGGAGAGUGCUGCUGUGUCUUUCCUGGUCUGGUCCAUAUGAAGAGGCUCCUAGCACUUUCUGGAUGUCAACAAAGCGGCACUUUCACCUCCAAGUGAAGAGCUGGCGCUUUCGUUUAGAAAUCUGUCAUCAGGAAUGCCUUCUCUCUGCCCCUCCCUAGUCCUCUCCCCAGUCCCCAGUCUCAGCGUAAGCAUUGGGGAGACGCUGUCACUGAAAAGAGAGGCUCUGCGCGCUGGAGGGUGCUCUUGGAACCCUGGACGAAUUCACCACACUGGUUCCCGUGGCGCCGAGACCACUUUCGAAAUCCUUUUUUAAAACAUAUCUGACUUUCUGAGCGGCGUAGGAAAACCCUGAGUAUAUAAGAUCUGAACAAAUCAGAACGUUAAAAACGUGAGACCUUCCACAACUUACUUUUGAGAGCCAUUUUAUUUAUUUCCUGGUUGGCGCUUUUUAAAAACAAAACAAAAAACCAUAGCCACGUGAUAACUUUCUACGAAACAGGAUUGUUUUUCUUGUUUUGAAAUUGGGAUUUCGUAUGUCCCAAUAGAGUAGUGUUGCACCAGUUUUAACACAAAUAUGUGGUAUCCAGGGAUCAACACGUGAGUUUUGUGGAUUUCAUACACCUUUGAAGGCUAGCUGGCUUUUUGAUGUAAUUAGCUGGCUCUUUCUAGUAAACGUUCUUUAAUAGAAAGAGUAGGACGUGUUGCUGGCAGAGAGCUCAGAAAAUGCCCUUUUACAGUCUUCACUGAGAGCAAGAAAAAACACACAGCAGGAGACGAGUAGAGUUCCUUCCACAGGAAUACUUUUUUUUAAAUUGACCUAAAAUCCCAAUCAACGCAUCUGAUUUUGUGAGAAAAUUUUAAAGAAAAAGAUGCUUAUGCAUGUCAACUCUUUAUACGUUUAUUAAAAUGCACACAAUUAGGGUUUAACAUGAUUCCACUUUUAAAAUGCACACAAUUAGGGUUUAAAAUGAUUCCACUUAGCUGAACUACUUUCACUAAAUUUAAAGACUGUUUGGGGAAUAAUUGAGGCUUUUUCUCCCCUCAAAGUGUUUUGAUUUUAAGAGUGCAAUAAGUAUUGAGACAAGUGGAAUAAAACUGAGGCUUUCUUUCUAUACUAUGAAGAUUUUGAAUAGUACUUGUCAAUAAAGCAACUCCUAUUGUAGUCUUAGGGGAGCGUUGCCUCCGUCCUGGAAGGAGGGUCUCAGAGAUACUAACCUCAUUAAAAUAUGAAUGAAAAAGGCCGCCAUCAUUGUAUCGGGAGAAAACUGAUUCACCGGCCAUUACUUUUACACAUGGACUCAUUUGGUGUAAGUUAUAAAUACAAAAACAAUCCGUUACGAUUUCGUUGCUGUCUCAGUGCACUCUCAGAGUAAAAUCCUAACUUUUCUCUUUCUGAAACCUAGCUAUGACUCUUUUUUUUUUUUUUUUUUUACCUUUAGGCCCCUUCUGACCAUGUGCUUGUUCUGUGAGCAAUGACAUGGGGGUGGGAGGAGGUACUCAUAUUCCAACUUGAAAACAGAAAAAGGUAGCUGAAAGUUUGGGGUUCAGUUUCUCUAGAAAGCUGGAGUUAGGGAAUUAUUCGAGACCACUAUGACAACACUUUAAUAACAGUCAAUUACAGGGUGCUUUCCGUGUUUGCUCAUUACUAUGUCUCUGUUAAUCUUGUAGCAAAUUUCUUGCUUGAUAGCUAUCACAAUCAGGCAGCGAUACAAUUACCUUAUGGUGUAUAGUCGGACGUGAAAACUGUCCUUGUGGUAUGCUGUCUCCUUCAUAACAGUCUGACAAUCUCAAAUAAAUCUUACUUAUCUGGAUGCUUAUUUUGGAAUGCCCCUGAGAUAGGAAACCAGCACUUAGCCUGCUUAGUUUCACAUUGUUGCAAAGGUUUUCUUUCUAGAGGUGUCGUUAAUAUAAAAAAUUUAAUUGCAUUAUAGAAAAUAUUACAUCUACUUUAAUCACUAACUUUUCAUCCAUAAAAAUACUGAAAUCACUUCUGAUAUUAGUUAAAAGUCAAUAUUUAGAAGUGAAAAUUCAAACCUCCUUUGCUUUAGGCUACAAUAGGGAGAGCAUGAAUUCAGAAACUCUUGUAAGUUGAUGAGAUAUAUAAUUAGCUUUUAUGUUAAUUGACUGCUAUGAGUUUGUUGUGUGACACUUCUUCAUAUAAUAUGCAAAUAGCAUUGACUGUUUAGUUUUAUUGGACAAUAUAAUUAGAAAUCUAAAGAAGCUCAUUUCGAUGAAGAAUAAUAAAGGUUGAUAAAUUUUCCAGUGUUCUGUAUAUCAGAAAAAAAUGAAUCCCAUCUGAACUUAAUCAAUAAGAGAGAUUUUAAGCAGCCUUUGUUCAGAGAGCCAAAGCCAGCCAACAUAUAACAGAAUUAAUAUUAGCUUUUUCAGCUACAUAAAUUUGAUGUUAAAACAGGUGAAUUUGUGCAAUCAAUAAAACCUUGGGGGCAAAAAUACAAAGACUGCAGCACAACUUACCACAAAUGAUGCAAUAAAUUUAUGAAAACAACAUCACAAUUUUGCCUCCUUUAAUCUGAAUACUGAGAGAAAGUCAUUAUUUGAAAUAAAUGUUUUGCAAGUGUUUCCUAUUUUUAUU
This 3771-nucleotide long non-coding RNA is filed under the name Capra hircus (goat). Its description in RNAcentral is "lncRNA (ENSCHIG00010013854.1)". Lineage: Eukaryota; Metazoa; Chordata; Mammalia; Artiodactyla; Bovidae. The record is from RNAcentral.